RNAcentral lists this ribosomal RNA (890 nucleotides) under marine metagenome. Its description in RNAcentral is "bacterial SSU rRNA". It matches the Rfam family "Bacterial small subunit ribosomal RNA", at positions 25 to 916 of the family's 1533-position model. The record is from RNAcentral.
CAGGAUGAACGCUAGCGGCAGGCCUAAUACAUGCAAGUCGAGGGGUAGAUUUAACUUCGGUUGAAUUGAGACCGGCGGACGGGUGCGUAACGCGUAUGCAACCUACCCAUUACAGGGGGAUAGCCCGGGGAAACUCGGAUUAAUACCCCAUAGUAUUAUUGAUUGGCAUCGAUUAAUAAUUAAAGAUUUAUUGGUAAUGGAUGGGCAUGCGUCUGAUUAGUUAGUUGGUGAGGUAACGGCUCACCAAGACGACGAUCAGUAGGGGGUCUGAGAGGAUGAUCCCCCACACUGGCACUGAGAUACGGGCCAGACUCCUACGGGAGGCAGCAGUAGGGAAUAUUGGUCAAUGGGCGAGAGCCUGAACCAGCCAUGCCGCGUGCAGGAUGACGGCCUUCUGGGUUGUAAACUGCUUUUGUCAGGGAAGAAAAAGACUAUGCGUAGUCAAUUGCCGGUACCUGAUGAAUAAGCACCGGCUAACUCCGUGCCAGCAGCCGCGGUAAUACGGAGGGUGCGAGCGUUGUCCGGAUUUAUUGGGUUUAAAGGGUGCGUAGGCGGGCCUUUAAGUCAGUGGUGAAAGCCCAUCGCUCAACGAUGGAACUGCCAUUGAUACUGGAGGCCUUGAGUUCAGUUGAGGUAGGCGGAAUUUAUGGUGUAGCGGUGAAAUGCAUAGAUACCAUAAAGAACACCGAUUGCGAAGGCAGCUUACUGGGCUUGAACUGACGCUGAGGCACGAAAGCGUGGGGAUCGAACAGGAUUAGAUACCCUGGUAGUCCACGCCGUAAACGAUGAUCACUCGCUGUUGGCGAUACACUGUCAGCGGCCAAGCGAAAGCGUUAAGUGAUCCACCUGGGGAGUACGGCCGCAAGGUUGAAACUCAAAGGAAUUGACGG